GCCUUCGUGGUGUAGUGGUCAACACGCUCGGGGAGUAUUCGAGAAGUCCGUGGUUCGAUUCCCGGCGAGGGUA
RNAcentral lists this transfer RNA (73 nucleotides) under Stegodyphus mimosarum. It matches the Rfam family "tRNA". From Rfam's summary of the family: Transfer RNA (tRNA) molecules are approximately 80 nucleotides in length. Their secondary structure includes four short double-helical elements and three loops (D, anti-codon, and T loops). Lineage: Eukaryota; Metazoa; Arthropoda; Arachnida; Araneae; Eresidae. The record is from Rfam by way of RNAcentral.